RNAcentral lists this ribosomal RNA (434 nucleotides) under uncultured bacterium. RNAcentral describes it as "partial 16S ribosomal RNA". It matches the Rfam family "Bacterial small subunit ribosomal RNA", at positions 29 to 507 of the family's 1533-position model. The record is from RNAcentral.
AGCGAACGCUGGCGGCAGGCCUAACACAUGCAAGUCGAACGAACCUUUCGGGGUUAGUGGCGGACGGGUGAGUAACACGUGGGAACGUGCCUUUAGGUUCGGAAUAACUCAGGGAAACUUGUGCUAAUACCGAAUGUGCUCUUCGGGGGAAAGAUUAAUCGCCUUUGGAGCGGCCCGCGUCUGCUUAGCUAGUUGGUUGAGGUAAUGGCUCACCAAGGCGACGAUCAGUAGCUGGUCUGAGAGGAUGAUCAGCCACAUUGGGAAUGAGACACGGCCCAAACUCGGACGGAAGGGAGCAGUGGGGAAUCUUGCGCAAGGGGCGAAAGCGUGACGAAGCCAUGCCGGGGGAAUGAUGAAGGUCUUAGGAUUGUAAAAUUCUUUCACCGGGGACGAUAAUGACGGUACCCGGAGAAGAAGCCCCGGCUAACUUCGUG